UACGUAGGCAGCAAGCGUUGUUCGGAUUUACUGGGCGUAAAGGGUGCGUAGGCGGCUAUUUAAGUUUGGUGUGAAAUCUCCCGGCUCAACUGGGAGGGUGCGCCGAAUACUGAGUGGCUAGAGUGCGGGAGAGGAAAGUGGAAUUCCUGGUGUAGCGGUGAAAUGCGUAGAUAUCAGGAGGAACACCGGUGGUGUAAACGGCUUUCUGGACCGUAACUGACGCUGAGGCACGAAAGCGUGGGUAGCAAACAGG
This 253-nucleotide ribosomal RNA is filed under the name uncultured bacterium. Its description in RNAcentral is "partial 16S ribosomal RNA". It matches the Rfam family "Bacterial small subunit ribosomal RNA", at positions 524 to 776 of the family's 1533-position model. The record is from RNAcentral.